Molecule: long non-coding RNA, 1373 nt
Organism: Papaver somniferum (opium poppy)
Lineage: Eukaryota; Viridiplantae; Streptophyta; Magnoliopsida; Ranunculales; Papaveraceae
Exons: 5
Source: RefSeq, a predicted model, not a curated record
GUAGCAACAACAGUUAGGGAUGCGUCCUUUUGGUUGUUUUAAAGGGCUGGAAUAAGUAUGUGAUUAUACAUUGCUAGAAUGUGAAAGUUAACGAUUGAAUGAGAGCCAAAUCCAAAUAAUAAAAAAUAUGGGGAUUUUGUCUCUGACGCUGGAUUUGAAGUUUCUUUGUUUUGGAAUUAUGUGGGCGUAGUGUACUUGAAAACGUUAAAGUCAUAUGUGAGGAACAAAUCUGACUGUUGGGGAGUGGUAUGGGAAUUGUCCACCUGGUAUACCUCAUGCACAAUGGGAAAUAUGGUUGACUAUUGGCAGACUCUUGAGUUUAAGUCGGGUGCACGCAACACAGAGAACAGAGAACAAUUGACUGGACAUCACACUUUUGGUUCAAAGUCCUUUAUGCGCCAUGCGUAUGAGGUAUAUAUUUUCCAGGCCUUGUAAUUAUAAUAAUCAUAAUACUCAUUCUAGUAUAUCCUUUCUAACAUACAGAUAGAAGUCGAAACCAAUCAACCAGCAACACGAAUGGAUAUAUAUGGAAGGACAUAUAACAAAUCUGAUGCUGGAAAAGAAAAAUUUAGGAAAAUGGAAGCGCUAAGAAAGAAAGCAGAAUAAAAUGGUGUCAUAGAAUCACUUCAGCAACUAGAUGGUGAUAGUUAUUCCCAAACUAUUGGACCUGACAAACGAGGACGAUAUCGCGGUGUUGGGAACCGCAUCAAACCCAAGAAAAGAUCCAGGGGAGAAUCUUCAAGUACAAGCAACACUGAUGACAUGCUCAAGGAGUUACAAGAACAUAUUGUGGUCAUAGAUCAGGAUCGUGAAGAAUUGCGAAAGGUGAAUGAGAGCUUGAUAAAGAGCAACGAAGAGACGAACAAAAAGAUGGACAAGUUGUUAGAAAUAUUUCAACUAAUCUCUCCUAAUCAUGUUGCUAUAUGUUUACCAAGCUCUUAAGUUAUCUAGAUUGUUUUAUAAGUUUACCAAGUUCUAGAGGACUAUUUAUCUAUUUAGGCUUAUCUGAUUAGAUAUUUUUAUUGACUCCUUGUGCAGGAUAUUGCUGCAAUGAUAUCAGCCAUCUAAUUAUAAUUUUGGAAGCUAAUCUGAUGCUUGGUUGCUGUCGGGGUCUUUUAACUUUGGAAUGGAGUUGAUUCUAGCAAAUACAUACAUAUGGUUUUGUAAAGGAGGUGAUUCUAGCAAAUACAUUGGUAGUUUAUUACUUCAGAAAAAGUUCUUUAAUAGUUGAUAUGUAGUGCCUUGGCAGAAUUCUAGCAUUUUGACAAACAUUUGUCUUUUAAUUUGUAUGGUAACUUGAGAUUUUGGUACUUUCAGAAACAAUUGUCAAAUUGUUACUUUGAGAAUGAAAGAAAAUAAAAUCUUGUUAUGAA